AUUGAACGCUGGCGGCAGGCCUAACACAUGCAAGUCGAGCGGUAGCACAGAGAGCUUGCUCUCGGGUGACGAGCGGCGGACGGGUGAGUAAUGUCUGGGAAACUGCCUGAUGGAGGGGGAUAACUACUGGAAACGGUAGCUAAUACCGCAUAANGUCGCAAGACCAAAGUGGGGGACCUUCGGGCCUCAUGCCAUCAGAUGUGCCCAGAUGGGAUUAGCUAGUAGGUGGGGUAACGGCUCACCUAGGCGACGAUCCCUAGCUGGUCUGAGAGGAUGACCAGCCACACUGGAACUGAGACACGGUCCAGACUCCUACGGGAGGCAGCAGUGGGGAAUAUUGCACAAUGGGCGCAAGCCUGAUGCAGCCAUGCCGCGUGUGUGAAGAAGGCCUUCGGGUUGUAAAGCACUUUCAGCGGGGAGGAAGGCGNUNAGGUUAAUAACCUNGNCGAUUGACGUUACCCGCAGAAGAAGCACCGGCUAACUCCGUGCCAGCAGCCGCGGUAAUACGGAGGGUGCAAGCGUUAAUCGGAAUUACUGGGCGUAAAGCGCACGCAGGCGGUCUGUCAAGUCGGAUGUGAAAUCCCCGGGCUNAACCUGGGAACUGCAUUCGAAACUGGCAGGCUAGAGUCUUGUAGAGGGGGGUAGAAUUCCAGGUGUAGCGGUGAAAUGCGUAGAGAUCUGGAGGAAUACCGGUGGCGAAGGCGGCCCCCUGGACAAAGACUGACGCUCAGGUGCGAAAGCGUGGGGAGCAAACAGGAUUAGAUACCCUGGUAGUCCACGCCGUAAACGAUGUCGAUUUGGAGGUUGUGCCCUUGAGGCGUGGCUUCCGGAGCUAACGCGUUAAAUCGACCGCCUGGGGAGUACGGCCGCAAGGUUAAAACUCAAAUGAAUUGACGGGGGCCCGCACAAGCGGUGGAGCAUGUGGUUUAAUUCGAUGCAACGCGAAGAACCUUACCUGGUCUUGACAUCCACAGAACUUUCCAGAGAUGGAUUGGUGCCUUCGGGAACUGUGAGACAGGUGCUGCAUGGCUGUCGUCAGCUCGUGUUGUGAAAUGUUGGGUUAAGUCCCGCAACGAGCGCAACCCUUAUCCUUUGUUGCCAGCGGUNNGGCCGGGAACUCAAAGGAGACUGCCAGUGAUAAACUGGAGGAAGGUGGGGAUGACGUCAAGUCAUCAUGGCCCUUACGACCAGGGCUACACACGUGCUACAAUGGCAUAUACAAAGAGAAGCGACCUCGCGAGAGCAAGCGGACCUCAUAAAGUAUGUCGUAGUCCGGAUUGGAGUCUGCAACUCGACUCCAUGAAGUCGGAAUCGCUAGUAAUCGUAGAUCAGAAUGCUACGGUGAAUACGUUCCCGGGCCUUGUACACACCGCCCGUCACACCAUGGGAGUGGGUUGCAAAAGAAGUAGGUAGCUUAACCUUCGGGAGGGCGCUUACCACUUUGUGAUUCAUGACUGGGGUGAAG
RNAcentral lists this ribosomal RNA (1465 nucleotides) under Klebsiella pneumoniae. Its description in RNAcentral is "16S ribosomal RNA". It matches the Rfam family "Bacterial small subunit ribosomal RNA". The record is from RNAcentral. Lineage: Bacteria; Pseudomonadati; Pseudomonadota; Gammaproteobacteria; Enterobacterales; Enterobacteriaceae.